RNAcentral lists this ribosomal RNA (498 nucleotides) under uncultured bacterium. Its description in RNAcentral is "bacterial SSU rRNA". It matches the Rfam family "Bacterial small subunit ribosomal RNA", at positions 30 to 526 of the family's 1533-position model. The record is from RNAcentral.
AUUGAACGCUGGCGGCAUGCCUUACACAUGCAAGUCGAACGGCAGCACGGGGGCAACCCUGGUGGCGAGUGGCGAACGGGUGAGUAAUACAUCGGAAUGUACCCAGUAGUGGGGGAUAACUAGUCGAAAGAUUAGCUAAUACCGCAUACGCACUAUGGUGGAAAGCGGGGGAUCGCAAGACCUCGCGCUAUUGGAGCAGCCGAUGUCCGAUUAGGUAGUUGGUGGGGUAAGGCCUACCAAGCCUGCGAUCGGUAACUGGUCUGAGAGGACGACCAGUCACACUGGGACUGAGACACGGCCCAGACUCCUACGGGAGGCAGCGGUGGGGAAUUUUGGACAAUGGGGGAAACCCUGAUCCAGCAAUGCCGCGUGUGUGACGAAGGCCUUCGGGUUGUAAGCACUUUGGCGGGAACGAACGGCGCUUCUAAUACAGAGCGCUAAUGACGGUACCCGCAGAAUAAGCACCGGCUAACUACGUGCCAGCAGCCGCGGUAAUCU